RNAcentral lists this ribosomal RNA (357 nucleotides) under uncultured Pseudomonadota bacterium. RNAcentral describes it as "uncultured proteobacterium partial 16S ribosomal RNA". It matches the Rfam family "Bacterial small subunit ribosomal RNA", at positions 97 to 438 of the family's 1533-position model. Lineage: Bacteria; Pseudomonadati; Pseudomonadota. The record is from RNAcentral.
GGCGCACGGGUUGAGUANCGCGNUGGGUAAUCUGCCCCUCGGUCAGGAAUAACCCGCCGAAAGGCGGGCUAAUACCCGAUAACACUGACGCUCUGCGGAGUGUCUUUCAAAGAAGGCCUCUGUUUACAAGCUUUCGCCGGAGGAUGAGCCCGCGUACCAUUAGCUAGUUGGCAGGGUAAUGGCCUACCAAGGCAACGAUGGUUAGCUGGUCCGAGAGGAUGGCCAGCCACACUGGAACUGAGACACGGUCCANACUCCUACGGGAGGCAGCAGUGAGGAAUCUUGCGCAAUGGGGGAAACCCUGACNCANCANCNCCGCGUGAGUGAGGAAGGCUUUCGGGUCNUAAAGCUCUGUCA